UACGUAGGGGCCAAGCGUUGUCCGGAUUUAUUGGGCGUAAAGAGCGUGUAGGCGGUUUGGUAGGUCCGUUGUGAAAACUCGAGGCUCAACCUCGAGACGCCGGCGGAAACCAUCAGGCUAGAGUCCGGAAGAGGAGAGUGGAAUUCCUGGUGUAGCGGUGAAAUGCGCAGAUAUCAGGAAGAACACCCGUGGCUAAGGCGGCUCUCUAGUACGGUACUGACGCUGAGACGCGAAAGCGUGGGGAGCGAACAGG
RNAcentral lists this ribosomal RNA (253 nucleotides) under uncultured bacterium. RNAcentral describes it as "partial 16S ribosomal RNA". It matches the Rfam family "Bacterial small subunit ribosomal RNA", at positions 524 to 776 of the family's 1533-position model. The record is from RNAcentral.